GCAAAGUGAUUGAUGGAUAAACUUGACUUGAUAAUUCGGGUUGAGCUUAAGUCGAGGGAUAAAUCAGAAGCAUUGCUUGAGGGAUCUUUCACGAACAUAUAUAGAUUCGAGAGAUGAAGGGUCCAAUUGAUACUUUAAAAUGUUUUAUCAUCUUGAAUAAGUUUUAGAAGAGACAUUUGGAAACUUUUCAAUUGCACUUCAAACAUUCUUACAUUUUCAAAUUACCCUUAUCUUUACAGUUAAAAUUC
This 248-nucleotide long non-coding RNA is filed under the name Coffea arabica (coffee). Its description in RNAcentral is "long non-coding RNA (CARA_LNC001182)". Lineage: Eukaryota; Viridiplantae; Streptophyta; Magnoliopsida; Gentianales; Rubiaceae. The record is from RNAcentral.